This is a long non-coding RNA of Etheostoma spectabile (orangethroat darter), 307 nucleotides long. RefSeq lists it as uncharacterized. The record is from RefSeq and is a predicted model, not a curated record. The transcript has 2 exons. NCBI's taxonomy places the organism in Eukaryota, Metazoa, Chordata, Actinopteri, Perciformes, Percidae.
GUACAGGACACACGUAACAGACUCGAGUCACCGACCUCGUCAGACUGUCCGAUGGCCAAUUAUCGGGUUAGUGUGUCAGGGCCUUAAGGGCUGCCUGAGAAAGCUAUCAGACUGCUGCACCAAAACACCAACAAAAGGUGAAAGAACGGGGAAACCAGCACGUCUUCGCUUACUGGUCCGUUAAGCAUGAUAUCUCUUCUUUGCUUUGACCUCACAUCCAAAUGUAACCAAAGAGAGGGGACAAAAAAAAACAUUUUGAGUUGAAAUGACAAAAAGAAACAUGAGAUGAGAAAUCAGAAAUGAGAAA